Bacillus rossius redtenbacheri is the source of this 11232-nucleotide long non-coding RNA. RefSeq lists it as uncharacterized. The transcript is spliced from 3 exons. The record is from RefSeq and is a predicted model, not a curated record. NCBI's taxonomy places the organism in Eukaryota, Metazoa, Arthropoda, Insecta, Phasmatodea, Bacillidae.
UGAAUAUAUUUUAUUUCGAUCGCGUACACAUAGCACAACAGCCAAUGAGAGAAGAGCAGGGUGCUUUUUUGGCGGGACUAGAAAUAUGUUUAUAUUUAUUAACCAUAUUGUGGUAAGAAAAUGUCGAGAUAAUAAAAGUAUUAAUGUUAUUUUGAAAGUUAAUAUGUUUAUUUACUAACACUGCUAACAGAUGUCGCUUAGUUCGCGAAAUUUCAUUGGCUGAAAUUAACAGUAAGAAUUCAAUUGUGAACCGAUUUCGCAGUUCGCACAGGUCGUGUGCACAGGUCGUGUGCAUGGCUUGCUAUGCACUCGCUUAAUUUUUUUAAUUGUGAACCCAGCCUUAUGAAGACGAUUUACUUUAGACUUCGGCGGUGAAAUUCGUAUUAACCGUUUACUUAUACACGUUAAGGCUGGGUUCACAAUUAAAAAAAUUAAGCGAGUGCAUAGCAAGCCAUGCACACGACCUAUGCACACGACCUGUGCGAACUGCGAAAUCGGUUCACAAUUGAAUUCUUACUGUUAAUUUCAGCCAAUGAAAUUUCGUGAACUAUGCGACAUCUGUUAGCAGUGUUAGUAAAUAAACAUAUUAACUUUCAAAAUAACGAUAAAACUAUUAUUAUCUCGACAUUUUCUUGCCACAAUCUGGUUAAUAAAUAUAAACAUAAUUCUAGUCCCACCAAAAAACACCCUGCUCUUCUCUCAUUGGCUGUUGUGCCAUGCGUACGCGACUGAAAUAAAAUAUAUUCAUUUCACUCCUAUGUGCACGACCUCGCUCCCAUGCACACGACCAACUUUCUGCUAUUGUGAAUCGUUAGGUUACGAAACAUGGUGUUCAUAUCCUAUGCACACGACCUACUGUUACUGUUACUGUUAUUUUUUCAAUUGUGAACCCAGCUUAACAGCUACUUGAGGGAUCAAAACAACUUCGUAAUUCAUAUUAACCGUAUUUCGUAUUAAAAGUACUGAAUAACAUAGGAAAUCAUACUUAAUUUUCCGGGACUGUGAAAGUACUUCGCAUAAACGGGAAUUUCGUACUAAGCGGAUUCGUAUUAAUGAGGUUUGACUGUAUGUAUUUUGGAGAUCAUUUGAUCUCAAGCUCAUAAGGAAGGAUGGGAUUGUGGUGUAUAACGGUUGGCAGCAAGGGCGGACUAGAAAGGUGGUGUAUAACGGGCAAGAUGGUGGUUUUGUGAUGUGUUGACGAGUGUGUGAUUUCCUUUGGGAAUAGUAAUAAAGAACCUAACAGUUAGGAAUGUAAAUUAAUAUUUCUAUGUCUAGGUGUGUACAUCUACAUAAUUGUUUCCAGAAAAACGGAAUUAAAGUCUUUGACACUAUGAAGUGAACUGUAAUAUUGUUAAACCAUUUUCUAAAAUAACGUUAUUUCAUAACCUAACAUGUGCAUUUAACUUGUGCAGAAUUGUGAAAGUAGUAAUGAGUUUCAAGAUUGUUUAUAUACAGCUUUAUGUGUUCUCAUUCCACUGACAGCGUAUCAUACAGACAAUAUUUUUAAAGAUUCAUUCUGGAAGACGUGUGUAAUGUGGCGUGCAAUCAGUGGUGGUUCUAGAAAAGAUUCUCAGGAGGAGCUGUCCUGCACAGAAAGGUGCAGUUGCAAACAUGACAUUAAAUAAUUUCUGGAAUACUGGACUUCAGUACGUUCUUAAAAUGACUUGUGCAGAAUUUAAUUUUGUGAUGAAGAUAGAACCACUUUGCUAGCUGCAUGCUUUCAAUUCUUUGCAUUUGUUAUUGGGAAUAUAAUAAGCCAAUCCCACAUAUGAAAAUUAUGUGUAUAAUAAGUUUGAUAAAACUAACACUGGACCUACAAAUACAUACAAUUUUACCCUUUUAGUAAAAUUUCUCUGUUAAUAAGUUCACAUUUCUAAGUACCUUGACAAUUGUCUUAACAUGGAUUGAAACUGAUUGAUUUUUUAGGAUUUCAGAAACUGGGUGGGGUUUUUCCUCCUUAGGAACGCCCCGGCUGUCUUACCACUUUUGAUGAAUGGUUUAAAAAUGAAAUUUUAAGUAUUUUAGUAAACAUAAAUGUAACUUCCAAAAGAAAGUGAGUUCAGGAGGGGUUGUCGUCUUUCAAGUCCGCUCCUGCCUUGAGUGUAAUUCUUUGUGUGUAGUAACCUGUAACUCUGUACCCGAGGUAAAGACACCAUUUACAGAUGUAAAUUUUUCACUCUGUCUAUACCAUUAUAUCCUAAGUGCAAUUUUCAGAUACAAACACUAUUUCCAUGAUUUAAAAAAAAAAAAAAUUAAAAUUUAAGGUUUUUAUCUUAAAAACAUUAAUUUUUGUCUGAUAAAUAAGUUGAAGAGAGGCAUGGUUGUCAAGUGGUCAGACACUAGAUCUCUCGCCAAGCCGACCGGGAUUCCAUUCCCGGCGGAGUCUUGACCCGUAGUGUUUGCAAGUGGGAGGCUUGCUGUGGUCGUCGCUGCUCCGCACAUCUCGCCUCACGCAGUCUCCGUGCUGUCCCGCUCCGCACAUGUGGACCUGCCACGACCGGGAAGCUACGUGAAGAUACGUAAUGUGUUAAAAGUUCCAUACAGCAAUUCCUACUUCUAUCGCAGAAACCUGAAAAUAAAUGAAGUUUAAACAAAUGGAAAAGUGACGUGUGCCUUACCUCCGGGACUUCAGAACCUGGAGCCUGGGUCGGUGCAGUGAGUGGCACGUGUGUGUGUGGGCGCAGUACGUGGAGACGGUGAAGCGCCGGCCGGUGAAGCUGAGCGACGCGGCCGGCCGGCUGAUCCGAAACUACUUCGUGGCCAGUCGCAGGCUGCGGCCACACUGCCUGCCGGUCGGUGCCACCAACACCAUCACCCGGCUGUCGGAGGCGUGCGCGCGGCUGGACAUGCAGCGGGAGGUGAGCCGUGCCCACGUGCUCGCCGUGCUGUUCCUGUACGAGGAGGCCAUGACGCGCGUGUUCGGGCCCAGUCCGGCCGCCCCCCACCUGCCGGCCGGCGCCUACCUCCACCUGCCCCUCCCCGCACAGGUCAGCGGCCGACUGAAGGACUUCAGCGAGUGGGUGGACCGACACUUGUCGCUGCUGGGCGAGCUCGAAGAGUAACCACACAGGUAGGUCUCACAAACUAUUGUUUAGUUAUAAUAAAUUGUUUUCUUAAUGAAGUGAGGUUAUACCUUAUCACGUAUACAUGGUUUAUAAUUAUAACAACCAAAAUGUUGUUGAAAUUUAUAUUAAGUUUUGAGUUUGUCAAGAUUGUCCUUAUGUUUCACGCAAACUCAUGUUUUGUCUAGGAAAAAUUAUAAAUGUUAUUAGUAGCAGAAAUAUUUAAUAUUUUACUGUUUUAUUUAUACCUCGAUUUGCUCAUUGUUAUGUAUAGUAAUUCAAUAAUGCAGACUUAUGCAAAAUAGGUUUAAAAUUUUAAUCUAAUAAAUUAGAGAGAAUGCUGAUUCACACUAAAACAUUAAGAUAUGUCUUUAAUCAUCUAUAGCCAUACUUAGUAUUAUUAUUCUGUAAUACAACACUGCUUUAGCAAAAAAUACUGCAUGCAGGGUGGCCACCAAACCGGGAAAACGGGAAAAACCGGGAAUAUGUCGGGAAUUUGAAAGGGCCCGGGUAAAACCGGGAAACUGUCUGAAAUUUUAUUUCUUUCCUGGGCAAAUGCUGCGGUGUAAAUACGCACAACUUAUAUAAGACGUACAUCGCGGCGUCUGAUAAUCACGCGGCAAAUCUGUACAGUGUCAUGUUGGCAGCGACUGUAGUGUUCCCAGGCGUGUCAUGUUUCUUCUUUCCUCAUAGACGCAAUACGUCACUAAGAGGCGGAGGGGGAGGGGGAAUAUGAACCGCACUACGGCGUGCAACAUGGGGUGUUGUUCUAAUUUGUUCUGUUCAGUACAAGUCUUCGAGCGGUUUUAGUCUUACGCUGUGCAGUUUGUUAGGAAGCUAUUGCAGCAAUGUCUACUAGGUAUUCCUGUCGUUAUGAGUCUUGAGGUUCCAUGGGCUACUGAGGAUGCGAAAGACAGAACUUGUGCGAGAUGCAAGAUAUGCAAUAAAAGUUUCAAGAUCGAUACGAUGGGUAGGGGAAGCAUUUACAAGCCAUGCCAAAUCUAAGAAUUACAAUAGAGUUAUAAAUAACCAAUCAAGAAACCUGCAAGUUACAGAAUUUUGUUUCCACUCAACCUGCUCAGGAUGAAGCCCACGCUUCCUGUAACAAAGUUUUAUUAGUACUUUAAUUUAUACUAGUAGCUUCCAACGGUUUAGCGGUGUUAUAAACUACGACGUCUUGUAAUCCAUCGCUUAUCAAUAAACUGUCAAAUAUGUCCAGUAACUAACGACACUGCACGUUUUUUUAUGAAUAUUCGCAGCGUGUUGAGGCCGGCCGAUAAACCUUCCGCAUUAACUUACCUUUAACGUCGGUAAUGCUAUGUUCACUUAAAAUUUGUAAAAUAAUAAUACUAAACAUAUAAUUAUUAUGUACACCAGAACCCCGAUUUCACGAACACCGGAUUUAACAAAGCAGUGAUUUUACGAGUACAUUCUCGGGAACCGUAAAAAAAUUGGAAAAUUUGACCAAAAUGUGAAAAACAGAAAAAAAUAUUAAAAAAAAAAACGCAAUGAAAGAUCAUAUAUACCGAAUAAAAGCAUGUUGGACCUCCUGCGGUCACCAGCAAAGCAUAAACACGACCCAAUGCGUGGUGCAACUGCUACAUCGCUUUGUUAUUGCUCGCGCGAGAGGCGGGACGUGGAAUGUUAGAAGAAAGGAAGGGGGAAAUGCGGGGGAUGACAGACAGCAGCCAGUGUGUUUCCUGCGUGGGGAAUAAGUGGCGUAGCUCCUUUUUUAUGCUGUGUGAAGCGACCUUUUUCUAUCAACUCACGGGAAAAGAUAAUUGCUUGAGCUGUCAAAAUAAACAUCGCUGCGACAGUUAAAACAAGAUGCGGGCGAGCAUCCGGUAGGUCGAUGUGUGUAUCUACUCGAAAAACAUUUCUCAAUUCAUGACACUAAUAAGAUUCCUUAUAACUUACACGUAUAGCCUGAUGUUUUCAGCCUGAUCCAUGCAAGUUCUUUAGCCACGUUUUGAAUGAAAACAACCACCAGCCGGCCAGUGUUGUGCCCUGUUUAAUACGCACAAAAUAUACCAAAUAUAUUUGGUUCAAAAAAAAAAAAAAAAAAGAACCUCAGGGAACUUAGGGCAAAAAAAGUCAAAAUAAUGAGUGAUGCCUUAAAACAGAUCACUCUCAUAGACGAAGAAAUUUUUAAACACAAAAAAGGUUAAAGUUAUGUGGCAAAUAUAUAUUUAGUAAACUGCCACCUGUUUUUUUAGUUGGGUAUGUAUCACAUUUUGUGCAUUUUUGUUUUAUAUUUAGUACUAUACAGUUCCGUGUUUUAAAAUGUGUGCUUUGUAUCAUGUAUUACAUAAAUAAAAACAUGUCAUUUUGUAUAUAUAUUGCAAAACCUGGAAAAUCUUGAAAAUACCUGGAAAAACCUGGAAAAAACCUGGAAUUUGUUAUCACAAAUAUAGUGGCCACCCUGUGCAUGCCGAUUAAAUGAUUACAGUACUCACUUACCUUAGCAUGUUGUAUUGUCAAUAUGAAACAUUACCUAGCUAAUAUAACAGCUUAACUACUUAAGGGGCCUCCCUAGUAAAAUUUUUCAGCCUGCUGGGCUACUGGCCACGUGCUGCAGCUAGUAGAUAGGCAGAGCGAAAUACGUUAUCUUGCGAAGUGGUGGGGGAGACGGCCCGGGAGCGUUGGAGGGGAAGGUUCUAUUGUAAUUGUGUGUCGUCUGGAGUCCAGUUACAGCUCGUACCCGCGUUAUCUGCGAACAAGGCGGGUUACUCUGCAUAUCGCUACAUGCACCAACAGGAUCAAAUCAUCGUUUUUCCUUCCUCGCUUCACCACAUUGUUUGUUUACUUGAAAAAUUAAAUGAGUUCUGCGCUCCAGACUAUAUCCAUCAAUUCAAUUUCAAACAACUUUAAUUCCGGUUUAACGUUUUUUAAUUCACAUAGUACUACGUAAUUAGAGUUGACGAUGGUUUUGAAGACUAUGGACUAUGAAACGAAACACUAUAAAAUAAUUUCCAGAAGUCGCACCAUUUAACAGCUACAAUAGGUAGUAUUUCUUCUAAAUCUACCUAAAACAGCGAGAAAACAUGUUAACACAUUCAAAUAAAUUUUCAUAUUUAUUUAUAAGCAUGAAAAUAAAAUUUUAAAAAAAGUGAAUGAGUCUUAGUACUCACCAGUGAUGUGUUUACAUCUAACCUCAAUAAAGAGCUAAUUCACAUGUUCUCGUGUUGUUCACUCUGCAAAUUAAUAUGUAAUACGAAACACGGACACAAAAUUUAAAGUAGAAUUCUUUAAAUAAUGCAGCGCGUAAUAAACAUAUUGAUCAAUAACAUAUUAUUUUUCAAGUCAUGCACUUAAAAUAAAUCGACAAGGUAGCUCGGGUUUUCCAAUCACAAAUCAGAAAAAUAUCUCCCACGUUUUUAUUUUCGAAAUAACAUUUAGGCAAUGAAAGGUUUUCCAUGUACAGUCAUGCUUACAUUUACAAAAAUGUUCCAUAACGUGACGAAAAUCACUUCUUUCUAAUAGAUUGUAUUCUAACAGUAUAAUUAAAAACAUCGCAAAUUAAGCAUUAAUUUUUGUACACACAUAAAUAUAUUUUGAAAAUGCAAAAUAUCUUAUGAAAUAGCUAUAACUAAACUACAAACCAAUUUUUAACCUACUUCCUAAAGAAAACGUGCAAGUGAAACUCAUUUCCCAAUUCUGUAAAGGACAAUUUAACUUCGGGAAGAAAAUGGUGUUUGCACUGACACAUUGUGAGCUUUGUAUUGUAGGUCUCAGAUUGUAUUUAUUUACACAAUUUAAUUUACGGAUACGGCAUCUUACUAUUUUCUAAAAAGACUUGAAUUUUGGACAGUAUGAUUAAUAUUUGAACACAAAUGAUUUGGCAUCCCGUUCCGAGCCAUUUACACAGACUUUUUUUAGCUUUUGCAAAAGCGGAGAACAGGUGGAUUAGCACUUCAGGCUUAGGUAUUUAAUCACGUUAAAGUCCACGUGAGUUCACAAUGAUCCAAGGAGUUCGGGUGGUAUGUAAGUACUCAGUGUGCACUGACUGUUGCUCUCAAGGCGUUAGUGCAGUGUAUAGCUGAAAUUAAUUUUUAACCUACGUACAUAUUUGGUGCGGUAUUAGGGCUGCCAAAAAAGUUUCAAAAGAUGGCUGCUUGAUGUUUAAUGAGAGCAACUUUUGUCUGGGAAAAAAAUCUCCAGCGACAUCCCUAAAUACACAAAUGCUAUUGCUGGAUUUUCUAUACAAAUCAUUAAACAAUUUUGGUUUCUUCACUGUCUGGUCAUAUAUCAUACGGAAAGUAUGUUUGACGUAUUAAUUUACGGCAUUCAGCUCAGUGUAAAAGCGUUAGUCAAACAUCUUUUAAAAAAUUAGAAUUUUCUCUACAAUAGAGUAUAAGCAGGGUAGUAUACACUGGCUUAAUUUAACAUUCAGAUCUGGAUAAAGUUUCUUAUUUUUAUGCUCACAGAAGAUUAGACUUUAUUCUACAUUGGAGUGGCUAUUUUCCCUAAUUUUAGGAAUUUAUUCUGCUGCUUCACUCCCAUGGCUGAUAUUGUUUUCUGAAGUGGAUACCAAUUGAAAUUCUAAGAAUGAAUCUUUCACCACAUCUUUUGUUUUCACCGAACAAUGAUUCGUCUCUUUUCUUUUAUACUUCCUAGAAAAAAUUAAACUUCAGUUAGAAAUAAACAGUUUCUACACUGGUAUAAGAAUCGAAAACGUUCACAUAGCAAUAUGGCCUGGUUAAAAAAAAUUAAUACUAACCUAAUAUUGUCAGGUUGUUCGCCAGAGUGACAAUUUGAUUAAAUGUUUGGUCCAAAAUCAUCAUCAAUAUUUCCGCACGUAAAGAAAGCAGACAGCGUUGUCGGUUCAAGUUCUGUUAAUUGGUAUUGGCCAAUUCCUUGCAUCUGUUGUGCAUAAGAACUUUCCUCGUGUUUUCUCAAAUCACUACCAAAAUCAAAAUCACAUAUGUAUAAAAUUAAAUACACCUAUCCCUCACUUAGCACGAAUAAUUCGUUCCUAAAUAUGCUCGUGUUAUUCUAAAUCGCGUAUUCUGAAGCAUUAGUUUCCAUAAAUAGCAAGGCUAAUUUAUUUCAUGUGUUCCAAAAUUGUGUAGUAAAAUAUACUUUACGUAAUAUAAAUGCGUUGAAUAACACUCGACUAUAAAUUUGUCACACCAUUUAUUUUUAUAUGCCUACCAUUGCACUUUAUAUGACAAAUACGACACCGCGUAAAAACUUUGUACAUUUUACAUGGAAUGCCUUCAUACAUGGUAUGUACUUCAUUGUCAAUCGGCUGGCUGACUUGGGCGUGACCUUCAACUCACGUCACGUACCUUUCCAAACCACCCUGUACUGACAGUGAAACUGUCCGGAUAGUUUCAUUUUAAUUUUUUAAAAAUUAAAGUAUUCGCGUAUCACAACCUGGUUCACACUAAUACUUUCAGGCCAAUGAUUAUUUUUUUUUCAUUGCAACAUUCAUUUAACAACCUUUUCCACGUGAAUCAUCUGUUCAUUUCUGUUCUGGUAUCUAAUGUCAAAUAUAUUCCCGCUAGUACAACCAACAGCAUCAGACUUACAUAAACUUUUGGUAAGAGUCCUUAUUUCGUACGAUUGUGUGCACAGUUGACUUGCUUAAAACUAAAGUGCGACCAACAUAAGCAUGGCCUUCAUGACAAUCUUCGCGCCGUAAUACUUCUAGUUUUGUCUCAUUUACUUGAACACAAUGCAUUAUGAGUGAUCAAGCACGUACAGUUAUCGGCAGCUGAAUGGGCAGACGUUGCUUUUGUUUGAGUGAAUUCCCUGCCACUGGCUAGACUGAGUUCACGGCCCGGUUUGUGGCCAGGCGACAACGGUACGCGCGGACGUAAAACAUUUGGUCCUUUACACUCCAUAGCCGCAAUUUAACUUGCCAUGAUAGGCUAACUAACUGUAUCCGACAGCACAUCUGUUGUUUACAGAAGUUGAAACAGACUUCGUGUGCCCAACUAUUUUUUUUUUUUUUUUUUUUUUGCCUGUCGAGAUUUCGUGCUAACUGAAAUUUACAGACGUGCUAUUCAAGACUGGGCAGUAUAAUUCACAUCGCGCUAAAUGAAUCCGCGCAAUCUGAAGACGUGCAAAGUGAGGGAUAGGUGUAUAUAAAAUCAAUAAUGUUAUAAAUAAAUUUUAAAAACCAUGUUAUCCAACAAAUGCUAUUUCCACAUAGUGUUAAGGGUUUUUAUAAGAUAUUUAUUAGGCCUCUUCAAGCUCUCAUACUUAGUAUUUCCGCGAAACACAACCAUUAUUUUCCUAAAUAAAUUAACGAUUUCCUUACCAAAUGAGGACAAUAUCACCAUAAACUUUAAAUGUGAUACAUAAUUUAUCUGGUUCAUGCGGAUUUCGCAAGUUUUACACAAGUAACUAAUGAGAUUAUUUGUUUUACAUUACAAUUAUUCCCUGGCUGACUUGGUACGCCGACCUAAUAGUUGUGCCGCAGUAUUUAGGUUUUAAAUUUAACCUAAAAAGUAGCCAUCCAGCUCGAGUGUUUAAAUAUUCGUAUUUGAAAUAAAAAGUAGUAUUAAAAUAUAAUUAUAAAUCACUCAUUUCCAUGGCUGUAAUUGAUAGUUAGUGUACUACUUAUGUAGAUGCUGAUGUUGCAGCAACAACUUUCUCCAGUCUCUGCAAUUUUCUAUACGUAAGAAAUUAAUUUAAUUUUAAAAACAUCAAUUUCUACUUAGUUUCAUAUUUAGAUUUUUUUCAGGGGAUGGUUAACAAAUUAAUUAACAUAACUUACACACGAGUCUAAACCUGGUUAGUCUUGAGGUAGAAGUUACAAAUAUUACUGCACUGAGAGGGAAUCAAACUCGUAAUCAGAGCGAACAAGAAAAACUGCACCACUUGGCUACAGUGGUCAUGAAAAAAAAUGGACUUUUUUUCAUGAAAAAUUAUUUUAUACGUUUUGCUAAGUUUACAUUCUCACUAACAAAUACGAGUAAUUUUUAUUAUUUUUUUGCCUAUUUUUAUUAUACAUACACGAUUAAAGCAGUAGCUCUCUUUUUAUUGCGUGGUUCACUAAUCUUCAAGCGACGUCUUGUUUUCUCCUGUUCAAUUCGUUUUUCUUACAUUUGUUGUUCUUCAAUGUGUUGUUUGAACACUUUAAUUACUUUAUUGUUUAUUUCAUUAGAAAUUUUCUAUUGUUGUAAGCUUAAAGAUAUUUGCGUUUUAAAGAAACACAACGUUUUGGGGUCAAACAAAUGUAUUUAAAGAAUAUCGUCGGUCUAGUUAGCAAACCUCGUAAUUCCCUGCUGUGGAUAGGCACACUGAAAGCAGUAAGUGAGAUUCCUUUGUCACAAGGGUAUUGUUUACGUGGCCGUUAUCUUCCUCUCCACGCACACACACUACUGAUCUGCCUCUCCUUCGAGCCCGUGUUCCCCCACCACUCUCUAGACUGUGUCUCGGCUGGCUCCGUCGAGCUACAGCACGAGACGGGUGGAAAUAUACCAAAAUUUUCAUAAACGGAGGAUAAGAAAUCUCGGAAUUUAAGCAAUGACUAUAGGUAGGUUUUUAUUACACCAAUGUCUUCAGAAUAAAAUUAUCUUUUUGUCUAUAAGCUUACUUUCUUUUUUUCAUUCUCCUAAAGAGCACAAAAAUGACUCAAAGUUGGACAUUUUAUGAUUUUUUAUUUCAUAUUUAGAAACACAAAAAUAAUAAUUUAAACUCAUACCCACAAUUUUUGUAGUUUCUUCUCGUGGGUGAAAAAUUUUCAAAUUCGUGGUUUUGAUAAAUAGCGUGUAAUCAUCAUCCAAAAAGUAGUGUGUUCGCGAACCUUUAAUGCUACUAGGGAGAGCCCUUAACAUUGGAACAAUAGUUUUGACAGGCUUGCUUUGAGAGCGUGUGUAAACAAGGGCUGUGACUUCCUCCCCUGCCGCGGUGUCACACUGCUCCUAGACCCUACAGGGGUGUCCGGGGUGAGGGCGGACAGGGAGGCAAACUUGAUUUACUAAAGCAGUGGUAGUAUAUUCAAAGCAAAAUGAAAUGUAGCUACUUUUUUUUUGUGGCCUAAUUAAGUUGUUGCUCUAGUAAGAAAGUGAAUUUUAAGAUGUAGAACGAUUUUGUAAUUAUUUUUAUUUCAGUUUAUUUUUUAAUACUUUAAUACAAAAAUACAGUUUUAUUUAGAUGGCACUUGUAAAAAUAUUAUGUAGUAUUUUUUUAAAUUAAAAAAAAUUGCAUGACUAUA